UAUUGGUCAAUGGGCCGGAGCCUGAACCAGCAACGCCGCGUGAGGGAAGACGGUUUUCGGAUUGUAAACCUCUGUACUCUGUGAAGAUGAUGACGGUAGCAGAGGAGGAAGCUCCGGCUAACUACGUGCCAGCAGCCGCGGUAAUACGUAGGGAGCGAGCGUUGUCCGGAUUUACUGGGUGUAAAGGGUGCGUAGGCGGCUAUGCAAGUCAGUAGUGAAAUCCAUGGGCUUAACCCAUGAACUGCUAUUGAAACUGCACAGCUUGAGUGAAGUAGAGGUAGGCGGAAUUCCCGGUGUAUCGGUGAAAUGCGUAGAGAUCGUGAGGAACACCAGUGGCGAAGGCGGCCUACUGGGCUUUAACUGACGCUGAGGCACGAAAGCGUGGGUAGCAAACAGG
Molecule: ribosomal RNA, 397 nt
Filed under: uncultured bacterium
Lineage: Bacteria
Description: bacterial SSU rRNA
Rfam family: Bacterial small subunit ribosomal RNA
Source: RNAcentral